CCUGUGAAAUGUGGCAUCCUUACAUACACAGGGAGGUUAAAGGAUCAGAAUACAAUCCAUAGAGCCCUGAGCUUGUGAGUUUCUCCUCUCGGAGCAUCAGCCCAGUUCUUCCUGACCCUCACCUCCAGAGGAGGACACAGCUACCAGGAUGAGGGAAUCCUCACGCCCCGCGGGCUCCUCUGAAUAUUGAAGUUUCUCCGUCACAGAGCCCAGAAUGUCCUGCACAGAUGCUGAAAGGCGGCUGCGUAUGGUCACAUAAGAGUGGUCAGGCAUGUAUACACGGCAGAAGACUGGACGGAAACAGGAAAAUGGCUUUCAACAGAGGGCAGAGUGGCAGCAGCUGGCACAGUCUCCUCCAGGGUGCCUCUAUUCCCCACCAGAGGCUGGCCUCUGAAGAAGGUCCUGUGAAAGGGGCUGGUUCUACCACCCAGGGAGAUGCCACUGAGGGUGCUCAAGACCCAGAGAUAUGUCCCCCUGAGCCACUCAGGACACCCUGCCCCUCCUAAUGCCCACACUCACUCUCAUCAGAGCCCCGGAAGGCCACCCGGGUCUGCAGACAGGAG
Molecule: long non-coding RNA, 563 nt
Filed under: Homo sapiens (human)
Lineage: Eukaryota; Metazoa; Chordata; Mammalia; Primates; Hominidae
Description: HSALNT0240432
Source: RNAcentral